RNAcentral lists this ribosomal RNA (441 nucleotides) under uncultured bacterium. RNAcentral's name for it is "partial 16S ribosomal RNA". It matches the Rfam family "Bacterial small subunit ribosomal RNA", at positions 338 to 795 of the family's 1533-position model. The record is from RNAcentral.
CCUACGGGAGGCAGCAGUGGGGAAUCUUGCACAAUGGGCGAAAGCCUGAUGCAGCAACGCCGCGUGAAGGAAGACGGUUUUCGGAUUGUACACUUCUGUUCUUAGUGAAGAAUAAUUGCGGUAACUAAUGAGCAAGCCACUGCUAACUACGUGCCAGCAGCCGCGGUAAUACGUAGGUGGCAAGCGUUUUCCGGAAUUACAGGGUGUAAAGGGAGCGUAGGCGGGAAGACAAGUCAGCUGUGAAAACUACGGGCUUAACCUGUAGACUGCAGGUGAAACUGGCUUUCUUGAGUGAAGUAGAGGUUGGCGGAAUUCCGAGUGUAGCGGUGAAAUGCGUAGAGAUUCGGAGGAACACCGGUGGCGAAGGCGGCCAACUGGGCUUUAACUGACGCUGAGGCUCGAAAGUGUGGGGAGCAAACAGGAUUAGAUACCCCGGUAGUC